AAUCAACGCUGGCGGCGCGCUUAACACAUGCAAGUCGAGCGAGAAAGGGGAGCAAUCCCUGAGUACAGCGGCGUACGGGUGAGUAACACGUGGGUGAUCUACCUUCUAGUGUGGAAUAACCCUGGGAAACCGGGGCUAAUACCGCAUAAGCCUGUGAAGGGAAAGCAGCAAUGCGCUGGAAGAGGAGCCCGCGGCCGAUUAGCUAGUUGGUGAGGUAACGGCCCACCAAGGCGAUGAUCGGUAGCCGGCCUGAGAGGGCACACGGCCACACUGGCACUGAAACACGGGCCAGACUCCUACGGGAGGCAGCAGUGGGGAAUCUUGCACAAUGGAGGCAACUCUGAUGCAGCGACGCCGCGUGAGCGAUGAAGCCCUUC
RNAcentral lists this ribosomal RNA (377 nucleotides) under uncultured bacterium. RNAcentral describes it as "bacterial SSU rRNA". It matches the Rfam family "Bacterial small subunit ribosomal RNA", at positions 32 to 419 of the family's 1533-position model. The record is from RNAcentral.